CUACGAGAACGCCAUAAAAGCCGUCUGCUACGGUUGCUCUCUCUCAUUUGAUAUUCAACUUGUGAACGAGCUAAACCCUGCGAACAUUGAUAAGUGCACAUCACGCUCUAGUGCUUUCUGCGGCUGAAAAUAAUUUAUUGAUCGCAAUGCAGCUGUCCAAGCAAGGCGUCAUGCUCCACCGUACCGAUCCAAUUUGUUGCCCUAAACGUGCGCUUUGAGCGUCGGUUUAUGGCAACAAAUUUAAUAGAAAUUACAGUGGUUGGUAUCUUUACGGAGCUGGACUUUGGAUGCGGUUGUUCUACUGAGUUCGGGGACACACGUACCGAUGGCUGGCUCUACUAAACGGUUCCUCUGCUAACCCGGCUUAUGGGGGGCGAGCUGUGACACGGUAUUGGAGAAUGCUGACAUAGUUCGUCUCGGAGUCGGUCCCAGUUUCUGGGAAAAUUAGCGUAAGGUUGAGUGGAUGGAGUUUGAAGUUUGUUCAAAUAAAUGGAAUUCAAAUUAUACUGGAA
This is a long non-coding RNA of Aedes aegypti (yellow fever mosquito), 512 nucleotides long. RefSeq lists it as uncharacterized. The transcript has 2 exons. The record is from RefSeq and is a predicted model, not a curated record. NCBI's taxonomy places the organism in Eukaryota, Metazoa, Arthropoda, Insecta, Diptera, Culicidae.